GCGCGGGUGGCGAAACUGGCAGACGCGUACGUUUGAGGGGCGUAUGGGGAAACCCAUGGGGGUUCAAGUCCCCCCCCGCGCA
This 82-nucleotide transfer RNA is filed under the name Elusimicrobiota bacterium. RNAcentral describes it as "Elusimicrobia bacterium (activated sludge metagenome) tRNA-Leu". It matches the Rfam family "tRNA". From Rfam's summary of the family: Transfer RNA (tRNA) molecules are approximately 80 nucleotides in length. Their secondary structure includes four short double-helical elements and three loops (D, anti-codon, and T loops). Further hydrogen bonds mediate the characteristic L-shaped molecular structure. tRNAs have two regions of fundamental functional importance: the anti-codon, which is responsible for specific mRNA codon recognition, and the 3' end, to which the tRNAs corresponding amino acid is attached (by aminoacyl-tRNA synthetases). tRNAs cope with the degeneracy of the genetic code in two manners: having more than one tRNA (with a specific anti-codon) for a particular amino acid; and 'wobble' base-pairing, i.e. permitting non-standard base-pairing at the 3rd anti-codon position. The record is from RNAcentral. Lineage: Bacteria; Pseudomonadati; Elusimicrobiota.